UCAUCCAUUCUCAAACUUUAAAUAUGUAAGAAGCACUUGUUGCUUAAUUGAACGUGUGCAUUCGAAUGUAUCAACACUAGUGGGCCAUUUUUGGUAAGCAGAACUGGCGAUGCGGGAUGAACCGAACGCGAGGUUAAGGUGCCAGAGUAGACGCUCAUCAGACACCACAAAAGGUGUUAGUACAUNUUGACAGCAGGACGGUGGCCAUGGAAGUCGGAAUCCGCUAAGGACUGUGUAACAACUCACCUGCCGAAUGUACUAGCCCUGAAAAUGGAUGGCGCUCAAGCGUCUCACCCAUACCUCGCCCUCAGGGUAGAAACGAAGCCCUGAGGAGUAGGCGGACGUGGAGGUCAGUGACGAAGCCUAGGGCGUGAGCCC
RNAcentral lists this ribosomal RNA (378 nucleotides) under Fusarium redolens. RNAcentral's name for it is "eukaryotic LSU rRNA". It matches the Rfam family "Eukaryotic large subunit ribosomal RNA", at positions 1048 to 1424 of the family's 3401-position model. Lineage: Eukaryota; Fungi; Ascomycota; Sordariomycetes; Hypocreales; Nectriaceae. The record is from RNAcentral.